UCAGGAGCGUUUUUGUAAGGGUUACGGUAGCGGUGCAUUUUCAGCUACUGACACCUUAACAUUCGGAAAGCCGAUAACCCUCAAGGUCGUACCAAAAAAUCAAUUGGCAACUCCUCCAUUACUGUCCAUCUUGUCCCCUUUGGACAAAAUGGACCGGAUAUUUGCCUGGCCGCCGGGUUCUUUCCUGCGGAUAAGACUAUGAUUUUGACUGUGGAAGGUAAAAGCCCGGUGAAACUUAACACCAGCGAAGCACCCUUGUUUCAUUCAACCUAUUAUUAUGCUGGAUUCAGUAAAGAUGAUGAAUCGAUGAAAUAUGAUGAAGUGCAAAAAUGUGAAAUGGAUGGACGAACAGUAGACAAAAGUGUUGACGUUCCUGAAACAACAGAAAUACCCCCAAUACCGACUCAGUUUUGUCCAACUAGUCUUGGUGCCUCAGAGUUCAUAGACACUGGUGUUCCAAAAAUGAACUCCAUGAAUCUUCUUGUGUCAGGUCUGAGAAUUCUGCUUGCUAAAUGUGUUGCAGUUAAUGCAUUGAUGACUGUCAAGGCGUUC
This is a long non-coding RNA of Carassius auratus (goldfish), 552 nucleotides long. RefSeq lists it as uncharacterized. The transcript has 4 exons. The record is from RefSeq and is a predicted model, not a curated record. Lineage: Eukaryota; Metazoa; Chordata; Actinopteri; Cypriniformes; Cyprinidae.